AACGAACGCUGGCGGCAGGCCUAACACAUGCAAGUCGAACGAAGUCUUCGGACUUAGUGGCGGACGGGUGAGUAACACGUGGGAACAUGCCCUUGGGUACGGAACAACAUCCGGAAACGGAUGCUAAUACCGUAUGAUGACUUCGGUCCAAAGAUUUAUCGCCCAAGGAUUGGCCCGCGUUGGAUUAGAUAGUUGGUGGGGUAACGGCCUACCAAGUCUACGAUCCAUAGCUGGUCUUAGAGGAUGAUCAGCCACACUGGGACUGAGACACGGCCCAG
Molecule: ribosomal RNA, 278 nt
Filed under: uncultured bacterium
Lineage: Bacteria
Description: partial 16S ribosomal RNA
Rfam family: Bacterial small subunit ribosomal RNA
Source: RNAcentral